Molecule: ribosomal RNA, 474 nt
Filed under: uncultured bacterium
Lineage: Bacteria
Description: bacterial SSU rRNA
Rfam family: Bacterial small subunit ribosomal RNA
Source: RNAcentral
CGCUAUCACUCCUACGGGAGGCAGCAGUGGGGGAAUAUUGCACAAUGGGGGAAACCCUGAUGCAGCCAUGCCGCGUGUGUGAAGAAGGCCUUCGGGUUGUAAAGCACUUUCAGUAGGGAGGAAGGUAGUGUAGUUAACACCUGCAUUAUUUGACGUUACCUACAGAAGAAGCACCGGCUAACUCCGUGCCAGCAGCCGCGGUAAUACGGAGGGUGCGAGCGUUAAUCGGAAUUACUGGGCGUAAAAGCGCAUGCAGGCGGCCUGUUAAGUCAGAUGUGAAAGCCCGGGGCUUAACCUCGGAAUUGCAUUUGAAACUGGCAGGCUAGAGUCUUGUAGAGGGGGUAGAAUUUCAGGUGUAGCGGUGAAAUGCGUAGAGAUCUGAAGGAAUACCAGUGGCGAAGGCGGCCCCCUGGACAAAGACUGACGCUCAGAUGCGAAAGCGUGGGGAGCAAACAGGAUUAGAUACCCUGGUAG